GGGGGUGUAACUCAGUUGGUAGAGUAGCGGACUCUUAAUCCGUUUGUCCGGGGUUCGAGCCCCCGCGCCCCUACGA
RNAcentral lists this transfer RNA (76 nucleotides) under Opitutia bacterium. RNAcentral's name for it is "tRNA-Lys". It matches the Rfam family "tRNA". Rfam says of the family: Transfer RNA (tRNA) molecules are approximately 80 nucleotides in length. Lineage: Bacteria; Pseudomonadati; Verrucomicrobiota; Opitutia. The record is from RNAcentral.